This is a long non-coding RNA of Suricata suricatta (meerkat), 1046 nucleotides long. RefSeq lists it as uncharacterized. Lineage: Eukaryota; Metazoa; Chordata; Mammalia; Carnivora; Herpestidae. The transcript is spliced from 4 exons. The record is from RefSeq and is a predicted model, not a curated record.
GAUCAGGAUGCCAGAAAAGCAGUUAUUUAUGGUUUUUGAAAAUGAUUCGGAAUCAUAUCAGUUCACGUUAAAAAUCACUUUGUGCCAUGGAAUUUAAAAUCACAUCCUUCUGCUGGGAACAGUGCCAUUUUCACCCAAUAAAAAAGAAGCUAAACGAAUAUGUGAGCUGCUACAAGCCGGGAAAGAUAGUGGCACUAAGAAUAAUCACAUCCUCAGUACAUUUUGAAUAAAAACUAAACUGCCAAAAAUUACUACCUCCGAGAAGAAACUAGGGUUGUUAAUAAUUAUUGCCACUGAAAGAGAAAAUUCCAGGGCUUGAUUCAAUCAGUUGAGAGUAUUGAAGAGCAGAACGGAGGCUUUUCUGAGAAAGAAGAAAUUCCACCUGCAGACAGCAGCUCAGCUCUUACAUGAGUCCUGGACUGCCCUUCCUGACAGCCUGCCCUGCGGACUUUGGACCUGCCCAGCCAGCUCUCACUGUCACCCACGUGACACCCUCAUGCCGCUGGUCCUGCCUGAAAUGUUGGCCCUUGAUUCCUUUUAAUUCCCCGCGUGCUGACCUGACGAUCCCAUGGCAAGAGGGGCCGACGGCCGUGAUGACGAGGGGCCACCUGGCAUGUGCCGGGCAGAGGGAGCUCCUUCCACACCAGGCCGACGGGACGGGGCAAACAGAAGCAGCUCGAUUUCCUUCCAGAAAACUCGGCUUGCACAGGUCUGCCAAGUAAACAUUCUGGAUCCAAACCACCGCGAGGGAAGUGUUUGUGUGCCUGCAGUUGGAUGAGAAGAGGAGCCUGCUGGGGCUGAGGACUGCAGGGCGCCGAUGCAUCCAGCAGGGCGUUAAAAGCACAGCGACCAUCACAGAACACUCCUCACCGUGGGCUCCGGUCUGCGCAGCGUCCCCUCUGUCAGGGGGACGGCGUGACCUUUACGAGGAAGGUCCAGCGUGCAACCAGCUGCCUCUGAAAUGGAACUGUUUAAAACCAGCACCGACUGGGGGCGCUGGGGGGCUCGGUCGGUCAAGCAUCUGACUCCUGAUGUCGGCUCAGGUC